RNAcentral lists this ribosomal RNA (271 nucleotides) under uncultured bacterium. RNAcentral's name for it is "partial 16S ribosomal RNA". It matches the Rfam family "Bacterial small subunit ribosomal RNA", at positions 524 to 792 of the family's 1533-position model. The record is from RNAcentral.
UACGGGGGGGAGCAAGCGUUGUUCGGAUUUACUGGGCGUAAAGGGCGCGUAGGCGGCCACCGCAAGUCGACUGUGAAAUCUCCGGGCUUAACCCGGAAAGGUCAGCCGAUACUGCCGAGCUAGAGUAUCGGAGAGGUUGGUGGAAUUCUCGGUGUAGAGGUGAAAUUCGUAGAUAUCGAGAGGAACACCGGUGGCGAAGGCGGCCAACUGGACGAAUACUGACGCUGAGACUCGAAAGCGUGGGGAGCAAACGGGAUUAGAACCUACGUCG